RNAcentral lists this ribosomal RNA (490 nucleotides) under uncultured bacterium. RNAcentral's name for it is "partial 16S ribosomal RNA". It matches the Rfam family "Bacterial small subunit ribosomal RNA", at positions 30 to 507 of the family's 1533-position model. The record is from RNAcentral.
AUUGAACGCUGGCGGCAGGCCUAACACAUGCAAGUCGAACGGUAACAGGAAACAGCUUGCUGUUUCGCUGACGAGUGGCGGACGGGUGAGUAAUGUCUGGGAAACUGCCUGAUGGAGGGGGAUAACUACUGGAAACGGUAGCUAAUACCGCAUAACGUCGCAAGAUCAAAGAGGGGGACCCUCGGGCCUCUUGCCAUCGGAUGUGCCCAGAUGGGAUUAGCUUGUUGGUGGGGUAACGGCUCACCAAGGCGACGAUCCCUAGCUGGUCUGAGAGGAUGACCAGCCACACUGGAACUGAGACACGGUCCAGACUCCUACGGGAGGCAGCAGUGGGGAAUAUUGCACAAUGGGCGCAAGCCUGAUGCAGCCAUGCCGCGUGUAUGAAGAAGGCCUUCGGGUUGUAAAGUACUUUCAGCGGGGAGGAAGGGAGUAAAGUUAAUACCUUUGCUCAUUGACGUUACCCGCAGAAGAAGCACCGGCUAACUCCGUG